Molecule: long non-coding RNA, 17017 nt
Filed under: Capsicum annuum
Lineage: Eukaryota; Viridiplantae; Streptophyta; Magnoliopsida; Solanales; Solanaceae
Description: long non-coding RNA (CANN_LNC010106)
Source: RNAcentral
CACAUCUAUCUAAUCAGAUUUCUCAUGGAUCUAUCCCAGUUUUAAGGUUAACCAAAAGAAAAAUAGGUUAAUUACAUGAGUUUCAAACUGAAAUUUGGAUGAAUAAUCCGUUUAUUUAGUUUUAUCUUUUUUCCCACCUUCAGAAGAAUAAAGCAUAGGCAUUUCUACUACUGGUAGAAUUUUCUGAAAGGUAACUAUCUCGGUUUCAUAGAUAAAUUUAUAUAGAAUCUUUGAAAAAGACUUUUUUUCAUAAGAAAGAAAAUACUUACUAUCUUUGGGAUUUGAUCCUACACCUACAGCCCCAUAGCACCUUGGGCACACCUCUACAUCAUACUUAAUUACGAACACAUGAUCUUAUACUCUUACAUACACUAUUCAGGUCUACUAGAUCACCUCCAUAUAUUUAGCAUCAACAACCGAACCAUCAACUGUUCAAACUUAAUGUCUAGAACUAAACAUGAUUUACAACCCAAUCUCACACACAAAUUUCAAUUCAAUACUAUAGAACAUAGCAUUAAGAAAAACUAGUACACAAUAACAAUCGAUCAUAAUCAUAUGGCCUAUCUUAUUCAUAAUCUGUUAACAGAUCCUCCUUUUUCACAUCAUUACUAUUUACCUAUCUUCAUACCUAAACUAUUUUCAUAGCUCUAUAAAUUUGAACUAAACUUCCUCUUGCAAUCUCAGGAAAGCCUAAAUUAACAAUACUCAACCACCAAGUACUUCCAUCAAAACCUAUACUUUCCUAGCACAACAAAUACCAUUAAUAACUCUUUUCAUACUUCAAGCAAACAACAAUCCAACUUCACUAAUAAUCUCCUUCUCUAACUUCACUAAACUAACAAACAAGGGUAUAUCACUUCAUUUCUAAUUCAAUCAUAAGCAAAACUUCAGCUAUACAUAUUCAAUAAAUUGCCCUUACUACCAUUCUUGCCACUACACUUCUAAACUCAUAAGUUCAACUAACACAAGACUUUUAACUAAAUGUUACUACUUUUGUCACUACACAGAAACCUACACUUUCAACUAACGCCUGAACAACAAGAUAAACAACAAGUUGCUAGUGAAUCGAAAUACGCCUCACACGGCUUCACUAGACUUUGGUUUUGUGUUUUGUUUAAUAAAAUUAUAUGAAUAACAAAGCAACUAUGCAAGUGAAUCAAAAUAGGCCUAACACGGCUUCACUAGACUUUGAUUUUUCACAAACAUAAUGAUAAUAUGAUUACAUAAUACAAGAGAUUGAAACUUGACACACAACAUUCAACGAUCUAAGAAUACACCUUACUCCGUUUUCAUUAAAUAACUCAUAAGAACAAGGGCAUAACUUAAAUUUGAAGGACUUAUAGCACACUAGAAGGCUUCUCUCAAGCCACUUUAUGAAACUUCUAAAACUUCUUCCAGCAAAUAUAAGAGCAUUAUUUGGGGAGGAAAUUGGAACUUACCGAAUAUGUUACCUCAAGAAUAGUACAUAGAUAGAGAAGUAUAGAUCAUCAUUAUGGAUUCUGAGGAGAAAUUUGAAAGCAUAUCUGACUCAGGCUUAAUGCAUGAUUUCUACAAGCCUGAUAAAACACUUUAAUUUUUUGGAACUCAAAAGUACUGAUAGAAUACUUCUGUAACUCUCUUAAAAUUCCAUAACUAACUAUGGAGAAUUAAGCUCAACUAUUUCUGAUACCUUAGAAAUAAGGAAGAUGUGGUCUGAGUAGAGUAAGAUAAGAAUCUGUAUAAGUUUCUUGGAGAUCUUUUUGAUAGCUCAAUUUAAGACUUAACGAAUAGAGACAUUUCCUAAAUGCUCAGUAGCUUCUCGAAGAAAAGUACAGACGUCUCCGUAUCGUUCCGCAAGACUCUACUAGACAUGGCUUCAUAGACACCCUAGGACACUUGAACUUUGUACAUUGAUAUGAAGUUUGUAACGACCCAAAAUUGGGUCUUGAGAUGUCACACGGUGCUUAAGAUCACAAGUGACCCUAAUAUAACCCUUCUACUGGCACAACUCAUAAGCAACUGAACAAAAAUUAUAAAUCUGUACAAAUAUAUGGAAAAUAACUCUUUUCUGAAUAUGAUAGAUGCAAAACUAAAUUUACAAGAUUACAACUUUGCUUUUACAACCAAAACUAUAUGUGAAGCCUCUGCUAGUACUGACUAUAGGUAACCGGGUCAUGACUCCCAACUAACCCAACUCAAUACAAUUGAAUAAAGAGAAUACAACACUUCACAAACUAUAUAACUAACUCAAGCCCUUGAAUUGAAAGGACUCAUCACCUACUGACUGGAUGUCGCAAACUAACUGGAUCUGAAGAUGUACACUAUACCUUGUACGUAUAUUUCAAGAACAUAUAGCCCACAUAAAAAUAUAUGGGUCAGUACCAUGGAAAUGUACCGAGCAUAUGAGGGUGCAAUGCAUAUAUAAAAUAAUGUCUUAAUAUUAUCACAGUUUAUAAAAUUAUGCAUGCUGAUAUAAAUGACUCACUUACCUCGAAUUAAAAUCAUCAUAGUCAUAAAAGAGUAAAAUAUAUCGAGUAAAACAUCUGAGUCAUCAUAAUAAAUCUCAAUUAACUUCUAUCUCGAUUCCAAAUCAUCAAAGCAAUCAAAUCUCAUAACAAUUCUCUUUGGAAUGUAUGUUCAUUAAAUCUUUCAAAAACAAUGACUUUCACAAACUCAGUCUUUCAAACAAAUAUGUUCUCAUCUCAGAUAGAAGAAUAAGACUUUUCAUAUUAGAUAGGAGAAUACACACACACACAUUAGGAGAUCUCAUAACUGACAUAAACUAUGUGAGCCACAUGGAGUCCAACGUACAACCCAUGUUAGGGAGAUCCAUCCUAUCCUUUCCAUUGGAGUAGGACUAUAAUUAUCAAAUCCAAAAACUACUGAUCACUAUAUAUAAUCAGCCUCAAUUCUACGUCCUACGGGGGUACAUAGUUCUAGGGAAGUACCAACACAGCUAUACCUCCCACUCGGUGCUAAAGACUACUCCCGGACUUAGGUCAGAUCUUUUCAUAGAAAAUCCACCAUAAAAUAAUUCAGCAAUUCACAACAGGAGCCAUCAUGCUACCCUUUUUUCAUAAUAAAUCAAAAUGUGGAUUUCUUUUCUCAUUCGAGUUCAGAAAUAACUUUUUCAAGACCAAAAGGUCAAAUAAUUCAAAUCCCAAGGUAUGCAUAAGACAUUACUUUCACAUAAAUCAUAAUUCUCAAAUAGGGUUCAAAACCUAUAUAUCAAUACUUGAGUAAAAUAUUUCAAGAUUCACACUUUAUGUAGCAAACAUGUAUAAUUCAUAUGAAAAGCUGGAGAUUCAACUUCAAACAUGAUAUUAACAUCAAAACUUAAGGAAUUUAUCUUCAUGAUAUCAUAUAAAUAUAAUAGUUUUUUGAACAAGAACGUUGGAUAAUAGUUUCUAUCUCAAAUUCAUAUGAACACAUGUAAAAUCAUAUAUCUUUAUAAAAUAAUGAUAAUUUUGGGCGCAAGAACGAAAGGAUGUUCUUGUUGAAAAACCCCACAUACCUUAAACUUGAAGCCUUGAAUGAACUCUUUACCUUGGGACUCUCUUAGUGAAAAUAAUGAGUGUUUCUUGUAGCCCUCGGAAUGGGGAUUCCGAAUCUCGAAUAAUUAUUGAAAACUCAUGGUAAAAUCUUGAGAUAUUUAAAUUUUUAGGUUGAAACCCUAAUGAAUGUUCUUGGUGAUUUUGAGAUAAAGUAAACUUAUUUUGGUGUUAUGUGAGUUUAAUCCUAUGUUAUAGACAUAUAUAAGGGUGUUUUUGGCACUUGGAAGUGAGGUAUGCGGCACAUUACUUAUCGGACUCAUUUAAGUAUGCGCUACAUUUCUUAUCACACACCUAUUCCAGUAGCUAUGUGCGAUUGGUUAGGCAACACACUCUACUUCAGAAAGCCAUAACUCCUUUCUCGGGUGUCAGAAUUUUAUGAAAUUGGUAUCAUUGGAAAGAUAAAUCUAUUAUAUACAAUUUGAUAGGUCUUGGGAUGAAAACUUCCAUGUAUAUUAAGAGAUAUUCACGUUUGAAGUUAAACCUUGUAGAAUAGAAUGUCAAACUUUUGAUGAAUCAAUAGUUCUUAGCUCAACUUUGUUCUAGGUCAUUGCUAUGAACAUUUUAUACCUCUAAACUACUCUAUAGACUAGGAUAAUGAUCAUGUAACUUGUAUUCAUGUGAGAAUGACUUGGAUUAGAGCUUAGACGCGCAGGAACGAAGGUUAGAAUUCCAGCACAAAAAUACGGGGUGUUACGUACACCUUGAUCCCUAACUUGUGACACAUCACGAGUCUGGGUCUCAGAAACCUUCUCACAUAUCACUGAAGCAUGUGUCCUGGGCAUCUGCGAAAGGGUAAAGUCAACAGAAUAUCCUACAAACCGACUUAGACUCUUAGCAUGAUAUGAGUGGGAUAAAUGAAGGGCCCCUAAGAAUGUCUCAUAGCCUCCCAAAGAUAGGAAAUGGAUGUCAACAUUCCGAUCCACAGAACUCUAUUAGACACUUUCUCUUAUACAAAUAAUAUCGAUAAAACCUAGGCUCUGAUACCAAUUUGUCAUGACAUGAUUCCCACUGGUUGGUAAGCCAAUACCAUAACUCAAAAUUAAUACAAUGGGUUACCUUCGUAGAAAUGUCUAAUAUGGACCCUAUAUAAAAACAUAAUAUAACAAUAGCAUUCCACAACCUAAGACGACCAAUAUUCAAAUAUCAUUCCUAGGACCUUAUAGUAUUAGUAUAAGAACAUAUUGAUUCUACAAUAGGAAUUUACAACUUAAAGUCUAAUGUGUCAUCAAUAAUCUCAUACAUUUGUCUAAAAAAUAAAAGACAAAUUAAGAUAGAGGGAAAGANNNNNNNNNNNNNNNNNNNNNNNNNNNNNNNNNNAGGGUCAACGUGGCAUGAUCUUGACUCAAUGACUGCAUCUAGAACUUGGGUCUUCACCAAUAAGGUAUAGAGGCACAGUAUGAAUGCGAAAACAUGAGUACAUAGUAGGCAUCAUCGGUCGACUAAGCUAAAUCAUAAUAUAAAGAUGAUAUAAGGUAAGUCAAUAACUUAAAGUCAAAGUACAGAAUCAAACAUAAAUCUUCUUUGAUACCGCUGUAUAAAAUAACUAAUCUACUAGGGUAAUAGCAUAACAUACCAUAUCAAUACGUACCAUAUUCGUCCUAUAAAUGAGUAAUCAUUUUUGAAGUGUAAAGCCAUAUAUAUGCAAUAAUAACCAUACACUUACCUUAAUCAACACCAACUUUAAUUAGAAGAUAAAGUGCAAGAACUUACCACGAUGUCCCAUACCGCGGGGAAGUACAUGCAAAGAACAUAACCAAGAACUCAUCACAGUGUCCCAUACAACUGGAGAGUACACCACAAGAAUACUAUAUAAAGAACCCAUCAUGGCAUCCUAUACCACUAGAGAGUACACCAAAAUAUAAACCAAUAAUAUAUCAAUGCAAUACUACACCAUAACUAACUACAGUCACAGGAAACACAACCCCGCCAUAGCUCAUUUCUAAGGUCCAUAAUCAUCAUCAAUAUCGCAAUUUAAUCACUAUGAAACCAAUAACGACAUAACAUAGUUAUAUAGUUACUUAUUCUCUAACUCUUUAAUAAAUAUUGAGAUUACUCUAUAAUAGUUAAAUUCAUUUACAUAAGCCACUAGAUUAUAAGCCUUAUUUUUAAAAGCCAUCACUUAAAGGAAAAUCUACAAGUUACGAUUGUUAUUAUUUAUUCACCCCUUACAAUGCCAUUCUCGAGUUAGAAUUCUCAUUAAAUAAAUCCUUAAUUAAGCCACCAUGACAUCACGUGCUAGAUGCCAACUUAACUUUUUAUAAUACAAUAAGGAGUCUAUUAUUAUUGAUCAUGUUACAGCCUUAAGGACUAGUUUCCAUAUUUUAAUGAAGUAAGGUCCACCAAAUAGUUCACUAGGCUUUUAUCCUACAAGUCAUAAUCAUUUAUUAGAAAUAACUAGUUAUUACAUAAGCCACUUUACUUGGAAAAAUUCCAUAACAUAACUAUUAAUUCAAGUCAAGUAGAUUUACUAGGUGAGCCUUUGGCUCUAUAAAAGAUUACACAUACCAAUUAGCCUUAGCCCAAUAAUAGGUAUAACUUACCUCUAGUUACCAAUUAGAGUCAACAACGUCCACACCUCUUAUUUAGUAAAAAGGGAUAAGGAAUGAACAACAAUUACUAUGUAAGACAUCAUGUCCCACAUACAUAAGGGUUUUGGCCCCACACAGACAACCCUCAUUAUGUAUUCAAGUAUUUAUGUAAAUUAUGCCCACACGGCAUCGUAACAUCUUUACAUUUUCUAGACUUAUCAGGCUUUAUUAUAGCAUCAAUAUAUACUUUAGAUUUAGCAGGCAUCAUCAUAACAUUAACAUAUCCUCUCUAUUCACUGGGCAUCAUCAUAACAUCAACAUAUCCUCUAGAUUCUCCAGGCGUUAUCAUAAUAUUAACAUAUCUUAUGGACUCACUGGGCUUCCUCAUAACAUUAACAUAUCCUCCAAAUUUACCGAUCAUCAUCAUAUCAUCAUUGCCUCUUUUGAAUUCACCAGGCAUAAUCAUACCAUUCAUAUAUAUAGUCAAAUCAAUAAACAUAUACAAGCCAAAAUAGUAGAGCAGGGAUAUAAGGUCACAUAUACCAUCUUACUUUACUAUUAACCAUCACAACAUAAUGUGGGUAUAAGAAUAAGCAUGCAUAUCUAAAUGAUAUACAUAAUCAACACUUUUCAAGGUUAUCCAUAUCACGACCACAAGAAACUAAUCAAGUAUACACAUUAUCCAACCAUUAACCACAUGCAUAAUGCGACGAUCAGGUUUUACCAUAAUAAUCUCAUUAACAUAAUUUAUAGCAUCAUAAAGUGUCUAUGUCUCUAAAGGAUUUCAUAUUUAAAGCUUACGGCGGGUCAAGUCCCACUUCUAAAUUUCAAGAAUGGCAAAGUUCACUAUCAUAAUAUUAACAUCUACCCAUAUUUAGGCAAUGUUAUCUAAAUCACACCAUAAGAGAUUAUCAUUCCUUACUAAGCCUAUAGGGGAAUUCUUCUUCAAGCAUUCUUUUUAAGUCAACCCAAAUACCAAGGCCAUUUCUUAACUAAGAAAUAUCUUGGAAAACAUAUCCUUAAGGAUAGGGAGAAACAUUAUUCUCAUAUAUUAGAGAAACUAAAGUAUUCUCCUACUAUUCACGAAACUCCUAGUAGAACUAUCCAUGGUUCUAAGCUAUGGGUCAAGCAUCACACUUUGCAAGUUCAAUAACCAAUAAGAAUCAACUAAUCCCAAAUAUCACUAUUAAACAAUUUAUCAUCUAAACUCCACCCAAUCUCAUAAGAUAUCAAUAAUUAUACUACAAUCAAGGUCAAUCUAAUUACAAGUAAGCUAACCUACCUUCAGUCUAAGCAACUCACGAACCAACUAUCUUUGCCUUUUAUUUUAUUGAAGCUUCAUCCUUCAUGAGCCAAGACACCAAUACUACAAUCUAAGCAUUACAACAAUAAUGACAUUACCCAUUAUGGCACCAUUGUGCAAUGGGUUCAAAAAUGACACCAAACCCCCAUAUGGGUUCCACCUUCGAAAAAUAACUUUCCAAGGCCAACCCAUUGUUCAGCUAUCAGUAGGGAGUUAUAAACCUUAAGUGAUUUUAGUAAAUCAAUCACAUAUAGGGCUCAAUUUAUGUCUUAAGCCCUUUAGGGUUUUAGGUAUAGAAUUCAAGAAAUCAAUAACAACUAGAAGGAAUUUACCUUAACUUCGUUGUAAAAUAUGAUUACACAAGUUAUCCAACCUUCUAAUCAACCCAAAAUACUUACUUUACAGAUUUAUACUCUAUUAGGAUUUGUUGCUUUAGGGGGGGCACAAAAUGGCAAAAAUUUUGGGUAAGAAGCCCUUAAAUAGUCAUGCCCAGCCCUCAAAUCAUGUGGUCUCUCCCUCCACCUAGCUACAGUUAUGGCAUUACAGUCACACCCACAUCACCAAUAUUGUGGUAUCUCUUCCUAUGCCAGGCCGACGGAAGCUUAGAACUUAGUUUUGGGCUUUGGCCAAUGCCUCGAGAUGCAUCUGGAGUUUAAUUAAAGAAAAUAAGAUAUGUAGACAUUUAGAUUUCAAUGUUCCAAAUGCAUCGGCAAAGUCAUAUUUUACAUUUAAAGUCAUUUUACUAGAUUUUUUGCUUAGUGGUCAAUUAGGACCAAUGAAGACUACAAAUGUAGAAAGUGGCUCUAAAACCAAAAGAUCAGCCAGGUAACUGAUCUAUCAGUUUCAACAAGUCACUAAUGAAUUUGGGUAGCUAUAGAGAAGCCCUAUUGGAAAGAUAAACUAGAAUAUGGAUGACCUAAAGGGUUAUUACACUUUCCCUCAAUUCACUUUCUUAAUAGUCGCCUACAUACCCCUUCUCUCCCUCUAUUUAAUUACCUAUCAUCUCUUCUUUAUCUUUAUCCCUUUAAAAUCCAUAUCCACCCUUCCCCCAUGACUAGAACUCAUUCCAUGGCCAGUGUUUCAAAAUCCCUUCCUAAAUCUUGCUCUGACAGGCCUAUUCUCUUCUUUGAGUCUUUUGAUGAAUCCUCAUAAUAUUCUCAAAAGUCUACUCUUAUCAAAAGAUGUCAUCCCACUCCCAUCCCAGCCCUUUCUACUAUAAAGCCUCAAACUACCUCUCUAAAUUCCUUACCUCUGAGGAUAUGCACGUGUUCUUAACAUUCUCUCAGACAAAAACAUUUAUGCCUAUAAAUACAGCUCCAUUAUGCCCGGUCUCACUAUCAAUCUUGGUCAAUUGAAAUAUACCUUAUGUAAUAUUAGUCACUUUUUAAAGUUUUAGAUUUCUCACUGAUCUUUCAUCUCUGGGAACUUGGGGUUUAUGAGGAUCUAGUCUAUAUUUUUAAGGUAAAUCUCCAUCUCUCUCCUAAUAGUGGUGAACUUGAGACUCUUGUGCUUUGCACAAGAAUCAUUUUGAAUAAUUUUCAAUUUGAGAAGGUUUUUUACACAAAGUUAUUUGUUUUAAUUUCUUUGAUGAAUGAUACAUGUUCCAAAGACUUUGAGGUGAUUUUUGACAAAGAAAUAAGAAUGCUAUAUGACUCAGACACAGCAUCGUCCAAUUUUGGUCCUCUAUCCCUAUGUUUAAAGUAUCACAUCAUGGCCCAUAUAAUCUCGGCUAUACUAAUUUCAAGAAAGGGAUCCCUCAGCAAUAUCACUUAACAUAAUAUAAUUGUCCUAUACUAUCCGAUUAAGAAACAUAAGAUCAAUUGGCCAAUCAAAAUUUGAGAGUAUAUACUUGAAAGUGUAGUAGAUAUUUAUGUCUCUGCUAGUUUACUACAUGGUCUGUUAAUUUCUUAGAUUCUAUUGUACUACUCUAUUGAUCUCUCUACUUACCCUUUGUUGAAAGUCUAAAACACCCUGGAUUUCUAGACCUUAGAAAAUUUCCUAGAUUUCUGGUCUUUGGAUUGCAUACAACUAGGGGAAAUAACUCGUAUACUAGGAUUAAAGUGGUAUGGGUUAGUGUAUACUGACCAGUGUUGGUUCGUAGAUUGGAUUUGGUUUUGGGAAUGGAUACGACUUGGGUAUUAUGAGUCCUAUCGAUAGACACGUGCAUUUUGGUUUGGAUAUUUUCUUCAAUUAAUCUUAGAAUUUGUAGACUAAGUUAAAUUUGAGUAUGAUUUUCUCAUAAUGAGUAGUAAGCUAAGGUACGAGUCAUACCAUGGACUCGUAUGGUGGGCAAUUUUUAAUCCUUUUUAGAUUUUAUUCUACUAGGGGUACGUAUCAUGGGUACAAGUAGUAUGAAUGGAUACAAUAUGGUUUAGGGUGAUUUGUACCUUGUACAGUGUUGGUUCAAAGAAAGAUGGCCUUGGAUACGACAGGUGGGUACCACUUGUAUUGGAGGGUACGACUGGUAUAAAUAGUCGUAUCCCUCUAAUAGGAUUUUGGUGUAGUUUAAGUAAGGCAAUCUUUACAUUUCUCCCACUUAACCUAAUGUGGCCCCAUGAUUUUUAACUCACUUGUGUAAAGAAAGCUUGGGUUUCAGGUUAAGGAUUAACUUAGGGCUUAUGUUGGUUAUUUCUCUUCAUUAUGUUCUUGGUUUAAGGCAUGUUCUCUACCCUUAUUGUUAGUUACAACAAAAGGCAUGGUUUUAUAGAAUAUUUUCAUGGUUUGAUUAUUGUAUGAUUUUGGAUUUUCAAAUAUAAUUUGGCGGUUUUGUUAUAAAUGCUUGGUUAUGGUUUUCCAUGCUUUAAUUACACAUUUAUAUUCUUUAAUGGUCUUUUUUUGAUAAUUGAUUAUAUACGAAUAUUUACUUUGUAAUUUGCUUUAGUUUGGGAAAUAAUAUGCCCCAAAUGUGUUUGAUAAAAUGCAUAUGAGAAUGUUUUCACUACAUUAUAGUAUUUUUAAUGGAACUUAUGCAUGGUUUAAACUAGGUAGUGGAACCCUAAAUUAUUAAAUGGUUUGGAAUGGUCAAAAUAGAAUGGUUUUGGGUUUAACAAUCAUUCUUGCAGGGUACAAUGGAGUCCCCCAAGUUAUCAUAAUAAUUGAACACUUAUGGGGUACAUGGGACUCUCCCAAGUUAAUUGGAUAGUGUAAUCUAUAGGUACAUGGGAAUCCCUUGAGUUCUAAAAGGUUUGGCUAAGGACAAUACUUGCAAUUUAUAGGUUGUAUGAUAUAACACUCUGUAUAUCCUCAUUUUAUAACAAUGGUUUGGUUGUAUGGAAAUGGUUUUAAUUAGAUAAUAAAGGAGAUGUGUGACAGCUCACCAUGAAGGCAGGAGUCUAACAGAUUAACACUGGAAACUCAUGUUUGUCUACAUGAGGUGUAGAUCAUGGUGACUUUAUAUAAUACUAUAAGGUACAUAAAAAUCCUAUAAGUAGAUUGUACAUAUGUAUCAUUAAGGGUGAAGGGUACUUAGGUAUUCCUUACUCUUAUGGUAUCUCUAGUUCAUAAGGCUACAUGCAUCGGGGCUAUUUUAGGGGGGUUACACUAGACCCAUAUAGACUGUGGGUGGAUAAGGAUCAUUAAGCUAUACAUACCCAUAAUAAUAGUUUUAAAUGUAUGGUAAUCCCGAUUCGCUUUCCUAGCACGAUUAUAUAUUAUAUGUAUGGUUUGUAUGCAUUUGGAUAGGUUACUUGGUUUAUUUAAAUAUAAUUAUUUUAUCAUUAUCCUAUGUUUAUGCUAGAGUUCACUCGCUAACCUACUUUUGGCCAGCUCUAUCACCACGCGAUGCAGGAACCAACUGUUUUACUCCUCCUGCUUAGAGAUCGAACUUUGAGGUCAGCUAUUAGAUUGAAGUGGUGAGCUUCUAUCUUCCCGGAAGGCUCUAUUUCAUGGAUUUUAUUUCAUACUUUAGUUUAUUUAUGGAUAUUAGUUUUGUCUAUUUUUUGGGGUAUGUCCUGACCAGAUUUUGCCAUUCUUUUUGUUAGAGGCUUUUGUGGAACUACUAUGGGUUGGCAUGGGUGGGAUCGAUAUUGGUGUCAGCCUUGGUAUUGGCAUUGGUACUGGGGCUGAUACCGUAGGACUAAAUUUCUCACUUUUCUAUCCACUUUUAUUUUGGGAUUAUAUAAUUAUUAUGGAACUCAUAUGGUUAUGGUUUACGAUACGGUUCUAUUGGUAUUGGUUAUUAGUUGAGUAUCAAACAAUUGGACUCAUUUGGCUAGUCGUGAAUAUAGACCUAUCCUAGCAUUUUUUAUUACACAAAAAUGUUAUCUUGUUAUAUAUUCAAAAUUGAUUUGACUUAGGAUAGGCAUAGGUGGUCUCCAUUCCUAGUUGGAUUUGGGAUACCUAUUAUGACAAGGCCCUGGUUUGGGUCCAGUGAAAGUUAUUGCUACUUAUAACGUCAAAAGUUUUCCUAUUAUGGGCUAUAUUUUAGUUGAUAAUGAAUGGUGUAAGAAGGAUUCUGCUCGUGCAAAUCUGAACUCCCUAAGUUAAGAAAGUCUAUUUCUAACCCCAUGAUAUUUGUGUUGAGGGAAAUAGAUGAAAUCAAAGAUUGCAUAAAUGCUUUGAGGAAGGAAUCCAACUAUUAGAGUCGACUUCCAAACUUUUGGACCUUGGGAAGUGUACUAGCACUGACAUAGGUGUGGUUCGGUUGGCCCUUAGAGGGUUUAGAUAAAAAGGCACCAAAUUGAUCAGUCGAAUGUUCACCCGUAUGGACUCCCUCAAGUCCCAAGUCAACUCCUCCAAUGAUGAUCCUUUUAUUUCCACUUAGAACUCCUUCUCAUCCUUCUUAAACAAUUGUGAGAAAUUUUCCAUAACAUGCAAAUACCCUAACAUACUGUCUAGUUAAUCGGUGUAUGAUGACUUUUUUUUCAAAAGGGGGUCUUGUUUCUUAUUUUUGAUGGGUUGUAAGAUGAUAUUUUUAACACAAUAUAUGCAAACUUUCUUUGUUUUUAUGAAGACCUUGGUACUUAAUUAGAUUAUAUCUCUGAUAUAUGUCUACUAUUCAUGCUAAUAUGUUCUUUUUUAUUAUACCAAAAGAGGGAGAAAGACAGAACCUACAAUUCAGGGGUAACAUGUCAUUUAUUAAUAGUAAAGAGUUGAUUGAUGCUCAAGGUAAAAAAGAACAUUGGAAGAACCUACAAGUAAAUGGGAGCAAGCCGACUACUGCGAUAGAGAAGUCAACAUAUGUUUAAUUCUUGUUUAUCAUUAUCAAAAGGGUGAAAUUAUUAGCCUCCUAGAUUUACUGUCUAGGUUUUAUUAAUGACAAACUAAUGAGUGGACAUUUGAACAAUAUUAAAAAUCUCUAAUGAUGAAAGGAGAAGAUACUAAAGAUAUACAAAAGAUGUAGAAUAUCUAAGGAAGUAAUUCAAGAUAUCCAAGAAUAUCUCACAAACAUCCAAGAGUAAGAUGGUUGGCGCUUAACUUGGAACAAUAUAAAUCAUACAAAAUCAAUUAAAGAUUUCCAAGAAAAUCUCACAAAGAAAAGUAAGCAUCCAACAGAAACCUAAGCAAAAGGAAAGAAGAUCACGGAUGUAUAUGAUAUAGGUGUGUAUAAGUAUCGUGUAUAAACAUAUUUUAUUUGGACAUAAUAUAUGGUAACAUUCCUCAAUCAAGGAAUCAAAUCAAAUCCUUUAUUUGGAUUCAUCUCUUGGGUUUCCUUAUCAAGAAAAGCUCUUGAAGGAUAUAAAAUAGAGGACUAAAGAUUUAAUCACUCACGCAACUUCAAGGAAAAAUGUAAAAGUGUCUCAAUCUUAGUCUCACAAAGCUUUGUACUUCUUAGUUUAUAACAGUUAUAUAAAGAGUACGAUUGAGUCAACUUUGUAAUACAAUCUGAAGCUGUGUCACAAGAUUUGAAUAACAGAAUAAUUCUUUAGAACUUAUUUCUCAUCAUUAUACUUGAGCCCAACUUUCAAAUAUCUAAGGAAACAUUGAAACUCAAGGGUAAAGGAAGUAGGCACCACAUUGGUGUUCUGAAAAUGGAUAAAUCUUCAUUUCCUUAAUUUAAAGUUGAUUAUUUAUUUUUCAAUUUAUUUAAAUCUAAUUUUUUUUAUGAAGUGUACUGAUCUGUAGGAAAGUCAAUUAUGACGAGUCAAUAUUCGACUCACAGAAAAUUUUCAAUUUACCCCCUCUUUAAUUUCAGUAAGUAAAUAUGUAAUUUGAGAUAAGAAUGCAAAGAUUUAGUUUGGAACACUAAUGUGGUUCCUAUUUCCAUUCCCUUUGGGUUUAAAGUUUCUUUAGAUCUUUUCAAAGGUAGAGUUUGAGUACAAUGAUGGUGAACAAGUUAUGAAAACUUUAUUUUUUUUAUCUUGUGACACAGCCUUAAUAGGUUUGACAAAGUAAACUCGAUCUUAUUCUUGUGUAACUACUAUAAACUCGAUCUUAUUCUUGUGUAACUACUAUAAACAAAGAAGUACAAAGCUUUGUGACACUAAGUUCUAGACAUAAUAAGAUUCUCCCUUGAAGUUACAUCAGCGCAUCAAUCUUUAGUCAUCUCUUUUAUAUUCCUCAGUUGCUUCGGCUUCUAUUCUUAUAAUGAAACCUCAUAGAUUUACUAUCAAUAAAGGAUUUCAAUUGAUUCUAUGAUUGAGGUAUGGAACCAUAAAGUAUGACCAUAUCAGAUAUGUCAAUACUUGGUGCAGCCUUCACACUCAUACAUGUCUAUAUCAGAUAUUUCCAUAUAGAGGGUGUGGCCUUGUUUCCUUUAGCUUUUGUCUUGAUUAAUUCAUUUUCCAUAAAUCUAAGAAGUUGAUGAUCUUCGUGUUUGAUAAUUUUCCAAUCUCAGUGCUGGCUUUCUUAUGAGUGAAUGCUUGCUUCCUUUCUUCGAUAUUCUGGAUUGAUUCCUUAAGGAUCUUUUUGAUCUUCUAUAUCUUUAGUAUAGCCUACAAGAUAUUUGUUUAUUAGUUUAUCCUUAUUAACACAUACUAUGAGAAUAUAAGGCUAACAAUCUCCCCCUUUUAGAUAAUGACAAAUAAUAAACAUUAUUUAACUUCCCUAUUUUUUGUUGACUUGCAAAAAACUAUAAUGUUACUAUUUUCUUUGAGCAUCAGUUGAAUCUAAUUCUUUGAUAGUCGACUUGCUCCCCCUGACUUGAAAUUACAUCUGAUUAUCCUUCUUUCUUUGAGCAUCAAUUGACUCUCAUCUUUUAAUAGUUGACUUAAUUCCCCUGACUUGCAAGCACCUCUAUGUUCCUGCUUUCUCACCAUUUUAUCAUAAUAAAAAAGAACAGCAGAUAGGUAAAAAGAAUUAAUAGACAUAUAGCAUGUAAACAGGCAAAUAAAUAACCAAAGGACUAAAUAAAAUAAAAAGUGAGAUAGUCAAUAUGUGAAAAUCAUUUUUCAACAAAAAAAGGAUAGGACCCACUUUUGAAUAGUAGUCAUCAUUCAACGUUUGUCCAGGAAGUAUGUGAGGAUAUUGUACAUGUUAUUGCUGAAUCGCUCAUAAGACUUUUCAACAUUUUUUUAGGAGAAUUUGAAGUUCUAGAUGGAUAUUGCAAGGUCAUUAUUAUAAGAGUUGACUUUAUACUUGAUGGAAUCCAUGUGAGCAAACAUUUUAGUGAACAACUUGAUGCCUUCUUGCUUGAAUUCAUAAAUUGUUAGUCGUACCUUGCCUAUAUUGGUGCUCGUACUCUUCUAAAGAUCUAGAAGCUUGGAAGUCGACUCGUGAAGUAGCAUCACUCAUUCCUCAAUAGUUUUUAAGAGUUCUUUCAGCUUCUUUAAAUCCUACAACAUAGAAAGCAUGGGGUUAGAAACUGACUUGCUCAACUUGGGGGGAUCUGAUUUUGCUCGGGCAGAGUCCUUUUUGCACCAUUCAUUUUCUACCAAAACAUUGCCCAUGCUGGCAAAGUUUUAGAGUCAUAAGUAGAAGAGGCUUCCAUCGGGGGAUAUAUAGAGAGGUUAGUAUAGAAAUAUUAGAGAAUCGAGAUAAUCAGAUGGAGAUAAUGCAGGAAGGUUGAGGCAUGAGCAUUAGCAGUUCUUCAGACAUAUAUUCACAAAACUAAUUAGCCCAAUUUUUGUUGUGUUUCUUAACCAUGUAAUAUAUGACAAACAUAUCAUGGCAGGUUAUGUUACUGAGGGAGCCCUUUGUUGGGAUAAGUGUGGUGGAGAUUAUAUUGGCCCUUAUAUGGCACUUAAUGUAGAGUGACAGGGGACAAAAUCUAGGAGACAUUAUGUCCGGGUCGGACAAGGUCUUUUUUGCUUCUUCAAAGAUAACUUCAAAAUCAUUGAGCUAUGAUCUUUUUAUAAAGGGAUUGGGACAAAGAACUUUGUAUCAAACACCCUAACAAAAAAUCAUUGAGCUUGAUCCUUGUGCCAAGAACAAUAGUAUCUAAUUCAUUGAUGUUGGGAGAGAGACGAAGAUUGUCAUAGAAUAUUUGAACAUGAUCCUCAUAAAGUUCAAGGCUAGACAAAAAACUAGUGACAGGUCUUGAAAUUUGAAGAGGUGAUUAAUAUUACAAUUAGCUUUCUUUAAUUGAUAGAGAUUUAAUACUUUAUCGGGUACCGCAGAUCGACUUUUGAUGGUAGUGAACUUUUCUUUUUGUGAGUAAAUGCAAAACUUAUGCAUGUCUUCUAGAGAAAAAGAAUCUAUAGGGUUUGAAUGAGGUUUCUUGAUAGAUAAUGUUGGACUAGGGGAAGGAUAUACUUUGGUAGUAGUUAACUGUCGAGUGUUGGAUGAAGAUUCAUUAGAGGAUUCAAAUAUAAGGACAAAAUUAUUAGAGUGAGGGUAUGGAAGGGACAUGGAUAGAUUUUUCAUGGAGAGAGUUCUAGUCAUUAGAGGAAAGUUUCAAACAAAGGUUUUAAAAGAAUUAACAGAGAGAUGAAGAGAUAGAUAUAUGAAGACAGGUGAAUGAAUCGAGAGAAAAAUGAAAAGAGGUGAAGUAAAUGUGGGGACUACUAAGGUGAAAGGAUGGCAGAAGAGGUAUUGGGAAGAUAAAAAGGUAGGGAGGCGGUAAAGGUUGCCUAAAAAAGGAAGAGUAAUGAUGACACUUUUUCCAACAAUGUUUUUCCAAAAUUAAAAAGAGUAAUAAAUAAUAAGUCUGUUAAAAGGAUUUUGUCAAAAAAUAAAACUUAUGAGUCAUUAAAGUUGAUAAUACCAAGUUUUUUUCAAAGAAAACAAAAUCUUUCUUCUAACAGGGGUUUCGUAAAAAUAUUUACCAAUUAAUUUUUGGAAUCAACAAAUAUUAGGGAAGAAUCACCAUUUUCUACAUGAUCUCCAAUAAAAUGAUAUUUAAUAUCAAUGUGUUUAUCCCUAGAAUGAUGCAUGGUAUAUUUAGACAAACUAAUAACACUAGUGUUAUGAAACAUUAUAGAUGUAUAUUCAAUAGAAAAAUGAAAAUCAAAUAGUUGACAUAUAAUCCAUUAAAUUUUUGUAUCACAACUUCCAACAUCCUUGUAUUUGUCUUCAUUUGGUGAUAGAGCAACUAAAGUUUUCUUGUUGUUGUGCCAUGAAAUUGGGGCAUCACCAAUAAUUUGGCAUGUUCCACUUUUGAUUUUUAUAUCAUUGCUAUCGCCCAUAAAGUCAACAUCUUAAUAUCCAAUUAAGUCAAAAUGAGAGGAGCGAGGGUGCCACAAGCCAGUAUCCUAUGUUCUAAAGAGAUAUCAAAUGAUUCUUUUAACAAUAGCCAGAUGGGACUCUUUAGGAGCCGAAUGGAACCUUGUACACUU